UUCAUUACUUUAGCUUCUUGUUGUUUUUAGGACUUUUUUUUGUUCAGGAUUUUCUCAUUGUUUUCUUAAUAGUUUGUCACGGUCACCCGGCUCCUCCUUCCCUCCUGCCUGCUUUUUGGGGGUCCCCCGCCACCACGCUCAUGACACAAACAGUCUUUUGCCUGAAGCCGCCUCUUCCUACGCAAGUCCUGCGCUUGGCCAGAAGUGAAGAAAGACAGAACGACAUGUCGAAACAACUUCUCGACAUCUUUCCUUUCCUGCCUCUUUAACACCUGACUGACUUUUUUUUUUUUUUUGGUCCAAAAAUAAAUACACUGCCCUCCUUGA
Molecule: long non-coding RNA, 327 nt
Organism: Hippocampus zosterae (dwarf seahorse)
Lineage: Eukaryota; Metazoa; Chordata; Actinopteri; Syngnathiformes; Syngnathidae
Exons: 2
Source: RefSeq, a predicted model, not a curated record